This 1232-nucleotide ribosomal RNA is filed under the name metagenome. RNAcentral's name for it is "SSU rRNA". It matches the Rfam family "Eukaryotic small subunit ribosomal RNA", at positions 558 to 1756 of the family's 1831-position model. The record is from RNAcentral.
AGUCUGGUGCCAGCAGCCGCGGUAAUUCCAGCUCCAAUAGCGUAUAUUAAAGUUGUUGCAGUUAAAAAGCUCGUAGUUGGAUUUCGGAGUACUUGAGUGAUAUGGUCCGGCGAAAUGCUGUGUUUACCGUUCCUCAGUCUCCUCUUUUCAUAAGAACGCCCCCAUAAUACAUCCUUAACUGGACUCUUGGGGUGUCGGUCUAUGGAUCGUUUACUUUGAGAAAAUUAGAGUGUUUAAAGCAGGCAUAACAACUAGCCUUUGAAUACUACAGCAUGGGAUAAUGAAAUAGGAAUGCGGUCCUAUUUUGUUGGUUUCUAGCGUCCGCAUUAAUGAUUAAAAGGGAUAGUUGGGGGUAUUAGUAUUUAGUUGUCAGAGGUGAAAUUCUAAGAUUUACUAAAGACUGACUACUGCGAAAGCAUUUACCAAGGAUGUUUUCAUUAAUCAAGAACGAAAGUUGGGGGAUCGAAGACGAUCAGAUACCGUCGUAGUCCUAACCUUAAACUAUGCCGACCAGGGAUUCGGAGACGUUGGAUGAAUGACUCUCCGGGCACCUUGUGAGAAAUCACAAGUAUUUGGGUUCCGGGGGGAGUAUGGUCGCAAGGCUGAAACUUAAAGGAAUUGACGGAAGGGCACCACCAGGCGUGGAACCUGCGGCUUAAUUUGACCCAACACGGGAAAACUCACCAGGUCCAGACACAGGAAGGAUUGACAGAUUGAUAGCUCUUUCAUGAUUCUGUGGGUGGUGGUGCAUGGCCGUUUCCAGUUGGUGGAGUGAUUUGUCAGGUUAAUUCCGAUAACGAACGAGACCUUAACCUAUUAAAUGGUCAUGCCAAUGCUUGGCCAGCUCCGGCUGGUUCUUUUUGCUUGGCAGCGACUUCUUAGAGGGACUAUUCGAAUAUAGCGAAUGGAAGUUUGAGGCCAAAACAGGUCUGUGAUGCCCUUAGAUGUCCUGGGCUGCACGCGCGUUACACUGAUGCAUUCAACGAGUUUUCGCCCUUACCUGAAAAGGUUGGGUAACCUUCUGAAAGUGCAUCGUGCUGGGGAUAGACGAUUGGAAUUAUUCGUCUUGAACGAGGAAUGCCUAGUAAUCGCACGUCAUCAACGUGCGCUGAUUACGUCCCUGCCCUUUGUACACACCGCCCGUCGCUCCUACCGAUUGAAUGGUCCGGCAAGAACUCCGGAUGAUCGGGACCAGGCGGACCGUAAGGUUUGCUAAUCCUGUGUCAAAAGUU